Molecule: long non-coding RNA, 830 nt
Filed under: Homo sapiens (human)
Lineage: Eukaryota; Metazoa; Chordata; Mammalia; Primates; Hominidae
Description: HSALNT0033372
Source: RNAcentral
UUUAUAGCUCAGGGGUUGAAGGCAGGAGAGGGAGCCUAUCUGUAAAUAUCUUUCUCCUUAAAAUGUGGUCUCUCCCGCCUCUCUUCCUUUUGGCUCCUUUCCUUUUUUUUGGCACAGGAAGAUGGCUGAGGUCAGCGAGGCUGGGUUGUUUCCCUGUCCACAGCGCAUUAGGGACCAGAAAAGAAUGUUGGUGUCUCUAAGGUAUUAUUUUCACUUUGGGAGGCCAAAGUAGGAGGAUCAUUUGAGGCUAGGAGUUGGAGACCAGCCUGUGCAACAUAGUGAAACCUCAUCUCAAUGAAAAAGGACCCAAGAAGCUGGAGAACAGACAGAAAAACUGCUGAAGUCAAGCCUGUCAUUGCCACAACUCUGCAUGUUAGUGAAGACAGCCAACAAGUUUGGAGGAACAUGGCCUCUGUCUCACUUCCAUCUUCUAACUCUUCAACUGGUAUGAACGAUGUGUAACCUCACUUGCAUGCAAACCUUAGCCUCAGAGGAGAUUGGGAAAUGCCAGCAUCUCCAGCUAGAAAUAGUCCAUCUUUAUUUUUACUACUUCCCUGCCUCUUUUCCUGUCUUCUAUUAGACUCAUAAAAUUAUCUAUAUUCCCUUUCUUUUUUUCUUUGCCAGUUUGAAAGCUAUAAUUAUAUUGCUAUUCUUUUAGUGUAUACCUUAAUUUUUAAAGCUAAGUUUAAAUUAUUUUAAUAUUUCAAAGUUACUUGGUAUUUUAUCUUGUCUUUCUAACCAAGGCAAAGACUUUAUCAUGUUUAAUGAUGCACUGACCAUCCCCCUUUCUAAUCUUGCUAUUGUUGUAAAGUUUUAUUCUUACAUUUUAA